CUCCCCCUCCUGUAGGUUCUGUGGUCUGAUCCAGUUCCAGGGAGAGGUCCGUAAGAAGGUUCUGUUCCAGCUGCUGCUGCUCCUCUGUCACCCCUUCCCUGUGAUCAGGAAGACCACAGCCAGCCAGGUGUACGAGAUGCUGCUGACCUACGACGAUGUCAUCGACCCUGACGUGAUGGAUGAUGUCAUGACGUCGCUGAGUGACACCAACUGGGAGGAGGACGUCGCCACAGUGAGGACCCACAGAAACCAGCUCUGUGAUUGGCUAGGAGUACAGAAGCCCCAGCUCGUUGCCAAGGGUCCUGUCCAGUAGGCCCGGGGGAAACUAUUCUCAGCAGGAACUAAAGAACUGUAGCACAGGAUCCUUCAGGAUGGCAUUAUGUGUGGCAUCACAAAGUACAGCUGCACUUCUAAAAGGUCACAGCCUUCAGUGAUGUUCCAAGACCCACACACUUUGCUACAGUACAUUCUAAUUGGUAUGCUAGUAUGGUCAUGAAAUGUAUGGUAGUCUGGGUUCAUCUGGGAUUCAUCUGUCUGUCUGUCUCUGUCUGUCGACUGAAAAAGUAAAAAAGAACAAAACAG
Molecule: long non-coding RNA, 582 nt
Organism: Oncorhynchus tshawytscha (Chinook salmon)
Lineage: Eukaryota; Metazoa; Chordata; Actinopteri; Salmoniformes; Salmonidae
Exons: 4
Source: RefSeq, a predicted model, not a curated record